UCAGCUGUGUUUGAGUGCCAAAAAGAAAACGCGGGGAAAGGCUUGUGGAAAGUGGAAAGCAGCGAGAGUGGAAGGCGUCUGCUGGGAAGAGAGGCUGGAGUUCCCCCUCCCCCCUGUCCACCGGUUCCUGAGGCGGCCUGGAUUGCCAAAAAACUUUUGGGCGUCCGGGGCCUAGUGGAGCCGAAGCCAGGAACGAUCCGGGAUACCUGACACGCUUAACCGGCUUAAAAGGAUAAUUUAGCGGAGCGCGGUGAAAAACACAACUUCCUCCGAAUUUCCUUGUCAUUAUUUUUUCCACGUGUUCCUGCCACUUUUCCCAUUCAUCGCCCCCCUCCUGCUGAUGCCAUUUCCUUUCCGUAGUUGGCAAGGUCUAAAGUUACGUUCGUCUCUAUUGAUUUUCCAUAAUGAGGCUUAUUUUGGCCCAACUCCCCAGCGGAGCCAUCGAAUUUCAUUGCAAAAUCACUGCAGGGAAAGUGAUGGCCAGGAGGGGGUAGAUUUCGGCCGGGAAUUGGAAUUCGUAGUCAUCGAAGUCGUAGUCGUAGUCAUAGUCUUAUUCCUGGCUGUCAUGGCUGAUUGCCAAACAAACAGAUACGCACACACAUACGCGUGAGGAGGCGAGACCCAGGCGAAGCAAUUUUAUUGUCAUCAUUUAUACAUACAGUGGGACAUUGCUAAGGAGAGUCCUUGCUAGGCCAAGGAAGUGUCUCUAGUCAUAGCGACCUGUAUAGGUAUAGGUAACUUGUCAACUCUGGAGAUUUGAAAUCAUUUUAAAGAAUACAAUUUUCUAGUAUAUUUUCUUAAAAGGGUUUUCAAAUUAAAAGCAUUUUGUGGAACUUAAUGAAGUAUUUAAUGUUGAAAUUAUAAAUUAAAGAUAAAUAUAUGGUUAUCACACAACGAAUUUGUCUUGUAAAUACAAUAGCCUUUAUUUUGUUACUUUCCCCAACAAGGACAGUCCCGAACUGGUCUGUUGCUGUCAAGUCAAUCCUGACAUUAUGAGUUCUACUCCAUCAGCAGCAAUAUAUAUAACAUAUAUGCAUUGAGACAUGCUGCUACCUUUGAUGGAUUUUUCAAUUUAUUAUCUGCUUAUCAGCUUUUAAUUAAUGAUAGUAGCGGGGGGAAUCUUGGUUAAUAUUUAUGACUACAAAUAAUUUGGCAAGUUUGGUGCGGCUCAACUUUAAUUUGCAAAGCGAUAAAUAACGAAUGACCAAUGAAAGUCGCAAAGAAAAUCCCCAGAAAUUCCCUUUCCGAAUUCCGGAAUCCGAAAUGCGGAUAGCCGUAAAAUGAAAGUGAAAAGAAAAGUGGAAAAGUGGCCGGAGCAACAACUGCAAAAAGUGCUGAACGCAGACAAAGUACAAAUUGCCCACAAAAAUAUAAAAACGAGCCAGGAGCAGGAGCAGAUGGAAAGGACGAGAAGGAAGAAAGUUCAAUUUACUACUUUUCACUUUAGCAUACAUUCCAACCCCCACACACACACACACGUAUAGUAAUUCAAAGGACACCCUCGCUUGAGAUGGCCAGCUGGUUUGGCUUGGAAAUUGGAGAACAGACCGCCACAGCAUCCCGCACACACACACACACACAUGGCCUCCCGUCCCCAGUUAUCCUGGCAACCUUAUCCUUGCUCCGGCACUCCCCCAAAAACUUUGCCUUUUUGCGUUAAAUUUUUCUUUUUAUUUUGGAAUUUCGUUCGAUAGCCGCCCCACUCUCACAUACAUACAUACUCACGCAGGAUACAUAUAUCCUGCACACACACACACACACACAUGAAUGA
Non-coding RNA from Drosophila kikkawai, 1771 nucleotides. Lineage: Eukaryota; Metazoa; Arthropoda; Insecta; Diptera; Drosophilidae. The record is from RefSeq and is a predicted model, not a curated record.